This 23-nucleotide non-coding RNA is filed under the name Cricetulus griseus (Chinese hamster). The record is from RNAcentral. Lineage: Eukaryota; Metazoa; Chordata; Mammalia; Rodentia; Cricetidae.
UCCUGUAGGGCACACCUGUAGCC